AANACGUGAGUAACCUGCCCCCGAGAGUGGGAUAGCCCUGGGAAACUGGGAUUAAUACCGCAUAGAAUCGCAAGAUUAAAGCAGCAAUGCGCUUGGGGAUGGGCUCGCGGCCUAUUAGUUAGUUGGUGAGGUAACGGCUCACCAAGGCGAUGACGGGUAGCCGGUCUGAGAGGAUGUCCGGCCACACUGGAACUGAGACACGGUCCAGACACCUACGGGUGGCAGCAGUCGAGAAUCAUUCACAAUGGGGGAAACCCUGAUGGUGCGACGCCGCGUGGGGGAAUGAAGGUCUUCGGAUUGUAAACCCCUGUCAUGUGGGAGCAAAUUAAAAAGAUAGUACCACAAGAGGAAGAGACGGCUAACUCUGUGCCAGCAGCCGCGGUAAUACAGAGGUCUCAAGCGUUGUUCGGAAUCACUGGGCGUAAAGCGUGCGUAGGCUGUUUCGUAAGUCGUGUGUGAAAGGCGCGGGCUCAACCCGCGGACGGCACAUGAUACUGCGAGACUAGAGUAAUGGAGGGGGAACCGGAAUUCUCGGUGUAGCAGUGAAAUGCGUAGAUAUCGAGAGGAACACUCGUGGCGAAGGCGGGUUCCUGGACAUUAACUGACGCUGAGGCACGAAGGCCGGGGGAGCGAAAGGGAUUAGAUACCCCUGUAGUCCUGGCAGUAAACGGUGCACGCUUGGUGU
This 685-nucleotide ribosomal RNA is filed under the name uncultured bacterium. RNAcentral describes it as "bacterial SSU rRNA". It matches the Rfam family "Bacterial small subunit ribosomal RNA", at positions 112 to 823 of the family's 1533-position model. The record is from RNAcentral.